AUACGUAGGUGGCAAGCGUUAUCCGGAAUUAUUGGGCGUAAAGCGCGCGCAGGCGGUUUCUUAAGUCUGAUGUGAAAGCCCACGGCUCAACCGUGGAGGGUCAUUGGAAACUGGGGAACUUGAGUGCAGAAGAGAAAAGCGGAAUUCCACGUGUAGCGGUGAAAUGCGUAGAGAUGUGGAGGAACACCAGUGGCGAAGGCGGCUUUUUGGUCUGUAACUGACGCUGAGGCGCGAAAGCGUGGGGAGCAAACAGGAUUAGAUACCCUGGUAGCCCACGCCGUAAACGAUGAGUGCUAAGUGUUAGAGGGUUUCCGCCCUUUAGUGCUGCAGCUAACGCAUUAAGCACUCCGCCUGGGGAGUACGGUCGCAAGACUGAA
Molecule: ribosomal RNA, 377 nt
Filed under: uncultured bacterium
Lineage: Bacteria
Description: bacterial SSU rRNA
Rfam family: Bacterial small subunit ribosomal RNA
Source: RNAcentral